GACGAACGCUGGCGGCGUGCCUAAUACAUGCAAGUAGAACGCACAGUUUAUACCGUAGCUUGCUACACCAUAAACUGUGAGUUGCGAACGGGUGAGUAACGCGUAGGUAACCUGCCUGGUAGCGGGGGAUAACUAUUGGAAACGAUAGCUAAUACCGCAUAAUAUUAAUUAUUGCAUGAUAAUUGAUUGAACGAUGCAAUUGCAUCACUACCAGCUGGACCUGCGUUGUAUUAGCUAGUAGGUGAGGUAACGGCUCACCUAGGCGACGAUACAUAGCCGACCUGAGAGGGUGAUCGGCCACACUGGGACUGAGACACGGCCCAGACUCCUACGGGAGGCAGCAGUAGGGAAUCUUCGGCAAUGGACGAAAGUCUGACCGAGCAACGCCGCGUGAGUGAAGAAGGUUUUCGGAUCGUAAAGCUCUGUUGUAAGAGAAGAACGGGUGUGAGAGUGGAAAGUUCACACUGUGACGGUAUCUGACCAGAAAGGGACGGCUAACUACGUG
This 505-nucleotide ribosomal RNA is filed under the name uncultured bacterium. RNAcentral describes it as "partial 16S ribosomal RNA". It matches the Rfam family "Bacterial small subunit ribosomal RNA", at positions 28 to 507 of the family's 1533-position model. The record is from RNAcentral.